GACGAACGCUGGCGGCGUGCUUAACACAUGCAAGUCGAGCGGUAAGGCCCUUUCGGGGGUACGACGAGCGGCGAACGGGUGAGUAACACGUGGGUGACCUGCCCUCAGCUCUGGGAUAAGCCUGGGAAACCGGGUCUAAUACUGGAUAUGACUCCAUGACGCAUGUUGGCGGGGUGGAAAGCCUUGUGCGGCUGAGGAUGGGCCCGCGGCCUAUCAGCUUGUUGGGUGGGGUGAGGCCUACCAAGGCGACGACGGGUAGCCGGCCUGAGGGGGCGACCGGCCACACUGGGACUGAGACACGGCCCAGACUCCUACGGGAGGCAGCAGUGGGGAAUCUUGCGCAAUGGGCGAAAGCCUGACGCAGCGACGCCGCGUGAGGGAUGACGGCCU
Molecule: ribosomal RNA, 390 nt
Filed under: uncultured bacterium
Lineage: Bacteria
Description: bacterial SSU rRNA
Rfam family: Bacterial small subunit ribosomal RNA
Source: RNAcentral